This is an RNA transcript of Leucoraja erinaceus (little skate), 4047 nucleotides long. It is a transcript of the gene named patatin-like phospholipase domain containing 8, with no coding region annotated. The record is from RefSeq and is a predicted model, not a curated record. Lineage: Eukaryota; Metazoa; Chordata; Chondrichthyes; Rajiformes; Rajidae. The transcript has 11 exons.
GACCGCGGCCUGCGCGUAGAGGAGGCGCCGCCCGCCCGCCCGCCGUCGUUGCGUGACAUUGCCGCCGCUGCCCCAACCCCAACCCCAGCGAGGAGCGGCCGGGGAAGGAGACGGCAAUGUCUGUCGCCGAGCUGCCGGAGGAAACGCAUAGGGAGACCAAGUGAUGUGCAGAACAAAAGAUCAAACUGGAGUCGGGAAAAGUACUGCAGCCCCCCUGCAUCUGUGUGUUUGAUAUUUGAAACAUCUGUAUUUAUAAAUUAUGAUAAACAUGUCACCUUAGAGGAUUCUGCCAAUGAGAAUUGCUUUGCAAGUACAUUAUUAUUCUGGACCACUUUCUAACUAGUCCACCGUCCAGUAAUAAGACCCAAGAAAGCGUCCAACUUGCUUACUGCAAAUGGAUCAGAAGAGAGCUGGAACAUAUUGGUGAUUAACAUUACUUGAAAAAUGACAUUUAUUUUGUACCACUGCAUUUUGCAUUAAAAUACCUCCCCUCCAGAGGGAACAACACCCUUCAGGCAUUGCAUGUCGCGCAUUAAGAGCACUUUAGACUCUGUGUCAAAAGCUGUCAGUACCACGCACACUGAGCUCAUUGGGAAACUUGUACGGUUGAAGCCCACUCUAAGUAUUUCAGUGAAACAUUCGGAAACUGAGAUUGCAGUGCCACAUGAAAGCUCAGAGAAACUAACCACUACUAAGUCGAACACAGUGAAGGAUGGUUUGGAUCUGAACCAAACCACAGAGGAUACCAUUCAUUCUGUUUCCAUCACCCCUGUUGGCUCAGAACUUGAAGACAAUUCUAACAAGAAAUUAUCUGGUAAUAGUGCAAUUAAUAGAGAGAAAGAUGAAAAAUCAAAUCUUUUCCAUGUCAGCUGCAUCGCGACAAAUUUUGGUGAAACGUACAAUUAUGUGGCAAAUCAUAUCAACAGUUAUUUUGGAAGUGGGGAGCAAAUAGAUACAGCAAAAGAGAAUAAAUUAUCAUUGUUUGACCAAAAAGGUUGGUCCAAGAAGAAUCCCAUAUGGACAGCAACUUCUAAAUCAAAAAUGAACGAAGUAGAUGAUAAAGAAAUCGAUGGUUUAAAUAUUGGCAGUGAACACACUGCUGCAGCUGAUGUGCCUUCAUCAACUGCAUCUGCAAAGAAGAGUUUUGCUAGCUUGCUCUCAUACCCAACAAAUAGUGUUCAAGCAUUCGUGGAUACCUGCUUUGGUAGUUUUGUUCCCAAGGUGCGGCCUGAAAUUAAAGACGCUGCUGAAAUCAAGAAAAAAAAGCUGAAGAGUGAAAGCACAAUGAAAGAUGACGAGCGACCUGAUGACAAAGAAGCCAAGCCAGCAGAUGAUAAAGUCAAGUAUUUGGCUCUUCAGCGAGAAAAGAUCAUUGCUAAGUUUAGUGUGGAUAACAGGACAAGAGCCUUGGCGCAAGCACUACGCCGAGCUUCGAAUGUUAGACUGUGCAUCAAUCGAGUUGAGGAACUGAAUUACCACCUUCUAGAAUUUCCUGAAACCAGGGCAGUGGCUGUCAAGGAGAAGCUAAUUCCUUGCUUGUUACGCCUGAGGCAGGCAAAUGAUGAAACUCUUCAGAGUGCAGUCAGAGAGUCUCUGGCUUUAAUUGGAUAUUCCAAUCCUAUUAAAGGCCGCGGUAUAAGAAUCUUGGCUAUUGAUGGAGGAGGAACAAGGGGACUGAUUGCUCUUCAGACCCUCCGUAAACUUGAAGAAUUGACAGGAAAACAAGUCUAUCAGCUCUUCGACUACAUCUGUGGGGUUAGCACAGGUGCCAUACUAGCAUUUAUGUUGGGGUUUUUCCAGAUUCCAUUGGACGAGUGUGAGGAAAUGUACCGAAAAUUAGGUACAGAUGUAUUUAAACAGAACGUAAUAAUGGGAACUAUGAAAAUGGGCUGGAGCCAUGCCUUUUAUGAGAGUGAACCCUGGGAAAAAAUACUGAAGGAAAGAAUGGGUGAAGAUUUUUUAAUUCAAACUGCAAGAAAUCCUAAAAGCCCCAAGGUAGCAGUUGUGAGUACUGUAGUGAACAAGGGGACACCACUGAAAGCAUUCGUCUUCAGAAACUACAAUCACCUACCUGGUAUAAGAUCGCAUUAUAUGGGUGGGUGUAAAUUUAAACUCUGGCAAGCCAUCCGAGCAUCUUCAGCUGCACCCGGCUAUUUUCAGGAAUAUGCUAUUGGCAACGACCUUCAUCAGGAUGGUGGCUUGCUCAUCAACAAUCCUUGUGCACUGGCCAUACACGAGUGCAAACGCAUUUGGCCAAACACACCCUUUCAAUGUGUGAUCUCACUUGGAACGGGACGCUUUGAAACAUUGGGGAAAAACAACGUGACUUACACAAGUCUUAAAACCAAACUGACUAACGUAAUAAGCAGUGCAACUGAUACGGAAGAAGUUCACACCAUGCUUGAUGCUCUUCUGCCGGCUGACACCUAUUUCCGUUUCAAUCCUUUCUUGAGUGAGGAUAUCGUUUUGGAUGAAAACCGUAAAGAAAAGCUGAAUCAGCUCCAAAUGGAUGGAACUCAGUACCUUGAACGGAACGAACCUAAGCUCAGGAAGGCUGCUAAAAUACUUUGUCAGGAGAAGGACUUGCUUCAGAAAGUAUCCGACUGGUUUAAAUUAAAAGCAGAUAUGUACGAAGGUCUUCCUCUGACUUCCAAGUUGUAAUUUAAAAUUCUCAAUUUCUAAAUUCCAGUUAGCAGUCACAUCAAUGUAAUUCCAUCGUACUGAUAUUCAAUCCAUGCUCAAAAGCUUAAAAACAAUCAGGAAUCUGAGCUGAAACUGAAUUAGCUCUGUUUUGUAAGUAGCAGUGCUGCUUAUCCUGUAGAUUAUUCAUCAAGUUUCAUUCUCAUCAUGCUUGUAAAAUGUGCUUCCUAUGAGUGCAACUGGCGCUCCCGUAAUGCUCAGCGUAUUUUGUGAUUAUAGUGAAUCUAUUUUGCGUUGGUUGAGUUCAUUCUUUUUUGUGCCAUAACUAUAUUUAUAGAUGUGAAAAUAUUAAACAUUGUUUAAGCUGUAACACAAUCAUGCUGUUUGAAAGUAUAAUAUUUUAAUCUACCCUGUAGAAUUAUUCUACCACACCACAAAAUAUUCAAUCCCUGCCCAGUAUAGUUUGAAAACUGUAUAAACAUCAGCAAUUUGAGCAUAGUCUAUCUACCAUUCGGCAAAUAAUUCAGUUACCCUGUUUACUGAAAUAAUUGUAAGAUACUGUAACGCCCACUUUCUCAUGCAUAUGAAUAAACUUCCUAGUUUAAAAUUAAUCCAAUGUUUAUGCACAUUCUCGGUUGGUAGUGGGACUUUAUCAAUGUUUUUAUUCUCCCUUUUAGGUUAAUCCUUUUGUCGUUGCUACAUAUCUCAGUUAUAUAACCCUUAUUUAUAUAAUUACAUUCUGUUAGCCUCUGCAACUAGUUGCUUAAAAAAGGAUCACAAUCCCAUGUAUCUGGAAAAGUUCCAACCUGAAACAUCACCUAUCCAUUUAGAAACAUUGAAAAUAGGUGCAGGAGUAGGUCAUUCGGCCCCUCCAGCUAGCACCGCCAUUCAAUAUGAUCAUGGCUGAUCAUCCAAAAUCAAUACGCCGUUCCCGCUUUCUCCCCAUAUCCCACGAUUCCCACUUGCCCUAAGAUCUAUAUCUAACUCUCCUUUGAAAACAUCCAGUGAAUUGGCUUCCACUGUCUUCUGUAGCAGAGAAUUCCACAUAUUACCAACUCUCCAGCCUGACCCGCUGAGUUACUCCAGCAUUUUGUGUCUCGCAAUCUCAUUGUCCACUUUGCCCACUUCUGACUGGCUCAAUGGCAUAAUAAUUCAGAUUGAGAAUGUUGUUUUAUUUUUAGCUUUCCUUAGCUGGAAUGUGAGGAUGGGACAGGCCCUUUUAGCUUCUGGAAUGCUGAUCGGAAUACUCGAUACUGAGGUACAAUCAGAAACGAAAAUGUUCCAGGUCUGGCCAACUCAUUGCUCUUCAGUAACAAUUGAAAAUAUCCAAUGCAGUUGGCUUCAUCAAUGUAAGAUGUGAUAUGCAUGUUUUUAUUAAACUUCAGUGUAGUUUCUGCAGCCUUUACU